GACGAACGCUGGCGGCGUGCUUAACACAUGCAAGUCGAACGGAAAGGCCCUGCUUUUGUGCGGUGCUCGAUUGGCGAACGGGUGAGUAACACGUGAGUAACCUGCCCUUGACUUUGGGAUAACUUCAGGAAACGGGGGCUAAUACCGUACAGCAUCUCCUCCUCGAUUGUGGGGGGUGGAAAGUUUCGGCGGUUGCGGAUGGACUCGCGGCUUAUCAGCUUGUUGGUGGGGUAGUGGCUUACCAAGGCUUUGACGGGUAGCCGGCCUGAGAGGGUGACCGGCCACAUUGGGACUGAGAUACGGACCAGACGGCUACGGGAGGCAGCAGUGGGGAAUAUUGCACAAUGGGAGGACGCCUGAUGCAGCAACGCCGCGUGCGGGAUGACGGCUUGCGGGUUGUAAACCGCUUUCGCCUGUGACGAAGCGUGAGUGACGGUAAUGGGUAAAGAAGCACCGGCUAACUACGUG
Molecule: ribosomal RNA, 468 nt
Filed under: uncultured bacterium
Lineage: Bacteria
Description: partial 16S ribosomal RNA
Rfam family: Bacterial small subunit ribosomal RNA
Source: RNAcentral